RNAcentral lists this ribosomal RNA (253 nucleotides) under uncultured bacterium. RNAcentral's name for it is "partial 16S ribosomal RNA". It matches the Rfam family "Bacterial small subunit ribosomal RNA", at positions 524 to 776 of the family's 1533-position model. The record is from RNAcentral.
UACGUAGGGGGCGAGCGUUGUCCGGAUUUAUUGGGCGUAAAGAGCGUGUAGGCGGCCAGGUAGGUCUGCUGUGAAAACUCGAGGCUCAACCUCGAGACGUCGGCGGAAACCAUCUGGCUAGAGUCCGGAAGAGGAGAGUGGAAUUCCUGGUGUAGCGGUGAAAUGCGCAGAUAUCAGGAAGAACACCAAUUGCGAAGGCAGCUCGCUGGGACGUAACUGACGCUGAGACGCGAAAGCGUGGGGAGCAAACAGG